RNAcentral lists this ribosomal RNA (253 nucleotides) under uncultured bacterium. RNAcentral's name for it is "partial 16S ribosomal RNA". It matches the Rfam family "Bacterial small subunit ribosomal RNA", at positions 524 to 776 of the family's 1533-position model. The record is from RNAcentral.
UACAGAGGGGGCAAGCGUUAUUCGGAAUUAUUGGGCGUAAAGGGCGCGUAGGCGGCCCUUCAAGUGACGGGUGAAAGCCCUCGGCUUAACCGAGGAACUGCCUGUCAGACUGGAUGGCUUGAGACCGGGAGAGGUGAGUGGAAUUCCCAGUGUAGCGGUGAAAUGCGUAGAUAUUGGGAGGAACACCAGUGGCGAAGGCGGCUCACUGGACCGGAACUGACGCUGAGGCGCGAAAGCGUGGGGAGCAAACAGG